Esox lucius (northern pike) is the source of this 1171-nucleotide long non-coding RNA. Lineage: Eukaryota; Metazoa; Chordata; Actinopteri; Esociformes; Esocidae. The record is from Ensembl.
UUUUGAAGGAAUGUAUAUUUUAAAGGACAACAUAGUACAACUGCAGCACACAAGGAUCCAGGUAAGAAUAAAGGCCAACAGUCCCACUAAAGCAGCACUGAGAGGACACAAAAUGGCCAUCAGCACCCAGCACUGCCCUGAACACCCAGCAUGACAUUCUGAAGACUCAGGAGGACCUGUUGAAAAUCCAUCCAGUUUCUCUGUUUAAACACCAAAUUCAAAUGAAUGCAUUUGCUUGUCAUCCACUGAGAAAAUCAAUCAUGAAACCACACUGGAAUGCUGAAGAGAAGAUACACUACCAUCAUCAUCUCUUUUAGGUGAAACACUGCCCUUCUCAUAUUCAAGAAUGUAACCGGAUCCAACUGUAAGUUCUUUGUCGAUUCCUGAAGUACAAAAGUAGAAUCCUAGCAAAGACUCAUUAAUGUUGCUGAUGGUCAGACUGAUGGAGCCAUUGUCCUCUAACUUUGUGCUGAAUGCAUUGUUGUUGCCAUGGAGGAAUUUAUUUAGAACUUCCUUUUGGUUAACGUCAUAUUGUUUGGCCGAUAUGAUGACAAAGGGCGUCUUGUUGCUCUCUUGUCCGUACCACGUUGUCGAGGUCUUCAUAGGUACGUUACAGGACAUACAGACAGUCUCCCCAGGUUUGACCACUCUGGUCAUAGUGGAGGACACUGAAGAGACCACUGGAGAAACACAAAAAAAAACCUGAUGGACAAGACUGACCAAAAUAAUUAACAAUUUGUUUGGUUCAUAUACUGUAACACUUUGAUACCGGUAACAAUUGAUAUAGUUCAAACAGGCCUAACUCACUACAUUGUACCUGUAAUGUAAUAUCAUAUUGCAACGAUACUGACUAACAGCUAUAUUCACUCUACUGAAUCUUUGCAACAUAAAAACACAUCAUGUGAAAAUGCAAAACAUAUGACAUUAGCAGGACCAGUUGUUUUGGCUGUUUUACCUCAAAAUAACCGAAAUACCUAGCCAUAAUUGUAAGGUUUUAAAGAAGUAGGUAAUUACCUGCUUGCAGAAAAGUUUUAACAAAACAUCACUUAUUGUUACAUAGGAUGGUCAUGAAAGACUCAUGAAGAGAGGAUAGAAAUUCAGUCAGUAUGAUUGAUGUAGAGGAGAAUAGACAGGCAGGCUACUUACAGUGUAGGACAAUCAGGACUAUCAA